This 444-nucleotide ribosomal RNA is filed under the name uncultured bacterium. RNAcentral's name for it is "bacterial SSU rRNA". It matches the Rfam family "Bacterial small subunit ribosomal RNA", at positions 28 to 467 of the family's 1533-position model. The record is from RNAcentral.
GAUGAACGCUAGCGGCAGGCCUAAUACAUGCAAGACGAACGGUAAGUUGAGUAGCAAUACUUAGCCAAGAGUGUCGUACGGGUGCGUAACACGUAUGCAACCUACCCUAUACAGGAGGAUAGCCUAGGGAAACCUGGAUUAACCCUUCAUAGUAUUAUUGGAUGGCAUCAUUUGAUAAUUAAAACUGAGGUGGUAUAGGAUGGGCAUGCGUCUGAUUAGUUAGUUGGCGGGGUAAUGGCCCACCAAGACGAUGAUCAGUAGGGGUUCUGAGAGGAAGAUCCCCCACACUGGCACUGAGAUACGGGCCAGACUCCUACGGGAGGCAGCAGUAGGGAAUAUUGGACAAUGGGUGUAAGCCUGAUCCAGCCAUGCCGCGUGCAGGAAGAAGGCCUUCUGGGUUGUAAACUGCUUUUGCCGGGGGAUAAAAGAUCCAUGCGUGGAGAA